Molecule: long non-coding RNA, 1179 nt
Organism: Saccostrea cuccullata (small rock oyster)
Lineage: Eukaryota; Metazoa; Mollusca; Bivalvia; Ostreida; Ostreidae
Exons: 3
Source: RefSeq, a predicted model, not a curated record
AACAUGUCAAACAGGAACUUCAGGUAUGAACAUUGCAAAAACACAUUUCGAAGAAGAUGACCCUCAGAAAUUGGACAGUUAGGAAGCAUACAGGAAAAGAAAGAAGACUUGACAUCACUCCAAAGGAAGAAAACAGCUUUAUCUUAAUGAAUGAAAUGGACAGAAGCAGAACUGAAGGAGAUGCAUGAGGAAUAUUUCAAAGAAUGCCUGAACACAACCACUACUCCUGGAAGACAACAUAGCAAUAUUGCAAUAUAAAAGAGCAGGUCAAUGGAGGUAUCAUACAGUUUAGGCCAUGGGAGACCCUGAAGAAUAAAGUAUUGAACAAUAAUAAAAAUAAAACCAUUUUGACAUUUAUUGUAAUACAGGAUUAAAACCGUACCUGUACAAUUUUUGCAUGUAAUGACUUUUCUCUUGCUCUACAACUAAUUACAGUCAGUAUUUGAUUGAAUAUCUUGAUCCCAAUUCGUCAGAUUUUGACAUAGUGGCAUAGUGCAUAGGAUUUUUUAAAGUUUUGAUACGAAGAAUUUCAUACAUUGUACUUGUAUCUGAGUUUAAGUUGACAAUGAAAAGUUUAGUUCCUGGUGCAACAUACUGUUUAAUUUCCGGAAAAAAAUUUGUUUGUGAUUUCAAACUCAGGUUAAUGAGGUUAUAUCUUUUAACAUUGGCGACUAUAAAAUUCAUUCCUUAAAUAUCAGAAGUGCAUGUUCCUGAUAUAAAUAGGAAUUUUUAUAAUUCUUUGACAGGCUUGUGUAAUCGGUUCAAGAAUUUGUUUUCAUAUAAUAGAACACAAUCUGAGCAACUGAAGAAAAAUAUUUACUCAAGGUUGUGAUUUUCCUACGUGGCAAUGUGGCUUUUAAGUUAACAAACAACAUUAUUUCUUAAUGUUUUAGUACUCAUGUACUAACAUAUUUUUCAUCAUAGAUAAAAUGAAGGUUUGGGAAAGAAAUCUUUUCACUAUCUUGCUCUACCUGUAAUGAGUUAUACUUGAUGCCAAGUUGCAAUAUUUAAAUUUUACAAACAUGGUUAUAAAAUGGUUUUUUUUUUUUUUUUUUUUUUUUUUUUGCUUUAACAGCCAAAUAGUUAAGGCUCAAAAUGCUUAUACCUUUUCCUAUCAUUUGUAAUUUGUACACUGAAUGAGAUGUUGAUUGUUAAAAUUAAAGUAUUCAAGAUUUUUUG